This 323-nucleotide unclassified non-coding RNA is filed under the name Hevea brasiliensis (rubber tree). The record is from RNAcentral. Lineage: Eukaryota; Viridiplantae; Streptophyta; Magnoliopsida; Malpighiales; Euphorbiaceae.
GAACAUUGCAAAAGCGACUUGAUCGAUUUGUAUGCAAUCUGCGUGAUUUCAGAAUAAGUGAAAUUGAGAUGAUUGGUAUGGAAGCAAUACCAGGUUUAUCACAUAUCAAGGAGAAGAAAGUGAGGAAAGAAGUAAUGAUGUUGAAGCUUCCUAUUUUUCCUAGUGAUCAUUAUGGCUUGCUUUUAACAAUUUCUGGUCGGUAAUGUUGAUAGAGGUUGUGGUUUGUAUGAACGUCCUCGGAUGGAGAUGAUAUAUAACCUCUUUAAUUACUUGAAGUUUGAAUCAAGUUUCUCUCAUCAUUGUUAAGAUCAUUUAUAGAUUAU